GCUGCAUGAACUCACUGUCUUUUGUCACUGGUCUGUCUCCAGAACCGUGACAUGUGACCUUACAGGAUUCAAAGGAGCAUCUGUAAAAUGCUCUCAGGCGCAAGGGGUUGUCUUGGGACGGUCCUGUGUAGGGCCAGGAGCUGGUCUUGAUGAUCCUUUUGUGUCCCUUCCAAUUCAGGAUGUUCUAUGAUCCUAUGAAAAAAUGGUCUGAUGAGACUAAGGAAUCCUAAACCAGCUGUUAAUCAGUACAGUACUGAAGAUGAGGAAAUACUUAUAGGUGUGCAUCAGUUUCUUCCCAUUGCGUCUUGUCCUACUGCCUGGCACCACUGAGAAGAGCCUGGAUCCAUCGUCUUGAAACCCUCCCUUACGCACUUGAUGAAGUUCCCUCUAAGUUGUCUUCCUGAGGCUGAACAGACUCAUCCCUUUCAGCCUUUCCGUUUAAAAGAGACGCUCCAGUCCCCAAUCAGCUUUCUUGCCCUCUACUAGAUCGUCUCCUGGAGCAGAUUGUUAUCCACCAGGACCCCAAGUCCUUCUCCACAGAGCUGCUUCCCAUAAAAUCUGCAAAAGCAGUCAGAUAUUUUAGUGAAGAAGAACUGUGUGUUUUUUUGUCUGCUACAACAUAUACAGAAACACCAGCAGCAGCAGCAGUGGCUAAGACAGUCAAGCAGCAGCCUAGAGCCUUGUCAGAACCUGAGCACUGGUCAGCACUGGGAGCACUCUAGGAGAUUUAAAUGGCUCCAGGGGGCACAGAGUGGGAGUGUCAUUCCAGAAGGACAUGACACUUUGCACAGGAAUGGCAAGCAGUAUGGUAUGGUCUCCCUCCCAUCAGCCCAAAAGAGUUCAAGAAUGGCUCCUAUUCUGCAGGGUUCUAAACCAUCUACAGCUCACAGGUCGAAAUCCCUCCUGCCAAGGGGAGGCAUUAGAACAGUCAUGUGUAUGCCUGAAGAUAUUCACCCCUUCUGACAAGGCGGAAUUGGUUCAGCUAUGGUGACAUGAGAAACAGCUGUUGUAUCGAGAAUGGGUCAUGAGCCAUCAAAGACUCCCAAAAGGCCUCUAGACCCAUUUCUUGGGCUCUGCAGCAGAGGACUGUGCAUAAUCCAUAAUGUUGCAUGGUGUUGCAUCAGACAGUGUAAAACCAUUUCCUUACCAAGGGUGGUACCUGGACCUUCCCAUCUGAACCUGAAUGAAUAGUAACUGAACUUUAUUCACCCAGUACUGAUGGAGCAAGACUUCAACCAUCGCUUCGACCAAAGGACAUUGAAAUUGCAACAAAGAAAUCUCUUUGCUCAGUCUGUGAGUGGCAAUGACUUUCCUCUCCACUAUCUACUCUUAUUUAUUUAUUUUCCAUAUAUAUUUUCUUAUGCAAAAUCUUACACUUCUAUAUUUCUACAUUUCUAUAGCUAGUAACCAGAAAGGCUUCAUACCUCAUUUCCAUUGCAAUCAAAUUGUUCUAAAGUAAACCUGCUAUCUAUGUAUCUAUCUAUCUAUCUAUCUAUCUAUCUAUCUAUCUAUCUAUCAUCUAUCUAUCUAUCUAUCUAUCUAUCUAUCUAUCUAUCUAUCUAUCUCUGUCAUGUAGAGAUAAAUAGAUGAUGGACAGAUGAAUAGAUGGAUGGAUGGAUGAUAUUUAAAAACUGGUCAUUCAGCAUAAUUUCAUGAUAAUCUGCCCCAAGCGACCCACUUUAAAAAGAAGGUAAAUUACAUUGCCUUCACUCAUGGAUCGAAUUAUGGUGGCAAAAUUAAAAUAUAACAUUUUUACUCUGAUAAUUUCACUCUCCAAUAAUUGAAUUACUUUGCAAAUAAAGGAUCUCACAUUUUUCUGGUACUUUAAAUUUCAUUAAAUUAAAACAAACAAACAAAAAACACAUAAAAAAUCAGGAGAAACAUAGGAAGAAAAUCCCCAAAACCUAGCCAAAAAUGACUCCCUACCAGGUCUAUCAUACUUUCCCAUCUUGGUUAAAGUUUGUGCUUUUGAGGGAGAGAGCUUUUAUGGUUUGUUUGGGGCUUUUGUAAUAGAUAAUUUAUCAGGAUAUUAUUUGUUGUUUAUUCCCAAAUUGUGGAUUUUGCUUGUGUUCUAGAUGUUAGCCCUCAGAAUGCAACUUUGGGUCAUUACACUGUUAUAUCUCAUAACUUCUGAACUGUAAUUUGAUAAUAGCUGCUAUGCCAUUCAGGUGAAGAAAUUGAAUACAUCUGCUUGUUUUGAUCAAAAUGCUGCAGCAUUCUUUUGCAGCUAGAAUGAGAAUUCACUCUGCAUUCAGAAAAAGAGAAAUAAAGAGUCCAUAACUAAAGUAGGUGCUAACUGUUAUUUUCUAGAUUGCUGAUAUGGGGGAUAUUUAUUUCAGAUUAUAUGGUAUUGUCCCAAUCCAGGGAUGCAUUCUAAACCAUGAACAUGGAGCAGAGGGAUAGUUUGACGAUAUCCAGUGUGAGAUUAAUACACAAAUGAGAUCAAACAUUUAUAAUCAAAAUGGUAUUUCACUUUUAUUCAUUUUAAAAGAGAGCAAGGAGAAAAUAUAGAAAAGUAUGGAAAAGUGAAGAAUUACAAAAACUGAGAAAGGUAGUAACCACCAGGAAUCUGUGGCAUCCUAUGAAGAUCCUUCUUUCCUCUGUUGGUGGGUAGAGCUCUGUUGGGACCUGCUGCCCAUUCAUUUCUGUCUUGGCUGAGCACUGCUUUGUGGCACUGGCUCAGCAGUUUCACUGCAGUGGGGGGGGCAUGACAAUGGCACGUUAAUCGAGGUUCAUCACAUUCCCAGAAUAUGCUCAGUUGUGCACAUGCAGGUUGCUCACCUGUAAUGGUGGGAGUGUGUUCAUCUUUGCUACCUUGGGAGGUCGUGGCCCAUUACUGACGGAAUGAUCAUGGCCCAUUAUUACAUUGGGUCUUCAACUACAGAUCUUAUCAAGGGCAAACGGGAAAUAGCAAAUGGCAAUUGCAAAAUAAGUCACUCUUUAACAGUCCUUUACAGGCAGUACAGUAGCACUGAAGCUGGAUAAGGAGAAAAGAAAAAUAUAACUCUUUUAGGAGAAUAUGGUUUUUCUUCUACAGUGAGGGCAUUUUGAGUUUCCAAAAAGGCAAGGUCAUAUAGAUGAACCUAUGCAAAAUGUCAUGUUGGCACACAAUUGUACCUGAUUUCUUUGGGGUUGGGUUUUUUUUUAUUUGUUUGUUAUGUUUGGUAUUUCCUUUUCCUUUUCCUUUUCCUUUUCCUUUUCCUUUUCCUUUUCCUUUUUUUUCCUUUUCCUUUUCCUUUUCCUUUUCCUUUUCCUUUUCCUUUUCCUUUUCUCUUUUCUUUUUAACAGGUAACCUUAAUGGCACCAUUAAUCAGAGGGAAUUGACAUAGUGAUGUUUUGAAGUUUGGUGUUUUGAGUCCGAAUUUUAAUAGUUCCUGUGUUGUAUUGAGGAAUAACUAAGAUCUGAAAGUGCUAAUAGACUGUAAAAAAAGCCCUAAUCAUCUGUGUCCAUUCCUUUAUCACACAAUUUUCUUUAGAGUUGUAUAUAAAAUGUUCCAUCAGAUGACUGUUGAUUUUCUUCCACUGCUGAAUUGUAUUUUCUAUCAAUUUUGUAUGCAACAUACAAGUAAUACACAAUAGGAAUGCAGUCUUCUGCCUGGAAAAGAGAUCAAAUAUAACUGACAACCAAGCUAUGCACAUAAAAGUAUGUCAAACAAGUUAUAUGUUGUAAAUUGUUUCUAUAUGUUUUUCAGUUAUAUUUAGUUAUAUUAUAGAUAUGCAUUUUCCUUUAACUACACCCUUAAGUGUCCUUAAAAAAACCCAUUCCACUCCAGAGGAUGAGAAUACCAAGGUCUCACUCAAAGAAUUUGCAAAUGCCAAGAAUCAGUUCUGCAGCAGAAAGCCAAUCCAGUUCAUAAAGAAUAUAAGUUUUGACUAUAACAUUAUCAAUGGCACCAUUGUUGCAGUGUGUUGUCAUGGUGUGCCUCAGUUUCCAUCAUCCCUCCCCUGAGGUUUCCUUCCCAAGGUGGUGUGUCAAUCACCUCUCCUUUCCCCCACCUUUGACCCCUGCUGGGCACUGUCUAUCAACCCAGAAAUUCCAGGGGAGCAUCGAGUGGUUGGCAGGCUCAGAGGAUGCUCUCCACCCCUUGGGGGGCUAUUGACCCAUCCCGGUGUCCCUCUCACCUGAGGCCUCCUCCCCCCAUACUUGGUUGAUGGUCCCUAUGUUCCCUCUCCUUCCCCCUCUCCCCCAGGUUAAAAGGGUGGGCACAUCAUGCGCUGAGGGGUUCUGGUGGAGAUGGUACUGGAUUCAGAGGCCUUGUGGCCCAGAAUAAAAUCUCUGGAUUAUCCCUCCAUGAGGACCAAUUCCUUCUUCACCACCACCUUACAAGGUUUCUCCAGCACAGGGAGGCCCGAGGAGUGACCCUCUUCUACCAAAAAGCCUCAGCCUGUAAGCACUGGAGCUCGGGACAUGCCUGGACUUGUCCCCACGUGCUCAUAGCUAUCCAGAGCAUCUCGGGGGUGCAGAACACCACAGGUGCCGCUCUUUGGCUCAGCAGCUGGGACCAAGCAGGCCAAGGCAGUGCCAUUCAGUAAUAGUGGUAAACUCCAAUACACCAUGUUCUCUUUCUACUAGUCUACAGACUUCUCUCCCUUUGUUUUUGGAAAUAUUUUAUAAGUAGCAACUGUGCACAAAAUGAUGCUUAGUAGUAAGGUAAGGUUUCAAAGUUAAGGUAUCGUAGCUUAUAAGAAACAAGAACAAGAAAAAAAAAAAGAAACUAAACCAACAACAAAAGGACUAGCAGCCAACCAACCUAGCUCUUAAUGUUAUCAUUUUAAUUUCCUCUUGAUGGAAACAUUACAACCUUGCUUUUCAUGUUGGCAUAUGCAGUCAGGAAUGUGACCCUUGGGAUUUAUGAUAUCCUAUUUUCCAGAUAUCCAGAGAAAGGCAGAGAAAGACAACAAAGCUGGGACAGGGUCUAGACAUUAAGUCCUAUGAGAAUCAGGUGAGGGAGCUGGGGGUGUUUAGCCUGGAGAAGAGAAGGCUCAGGAGUGACCUUAUCACUCUCUACAGUUGGCUGACAGGAGGUUGUAGUCAGGUGGGGGUUGAUCUCUUGCAGGCAGCUAGUGACAGGACAAGAGGACAUAGACUUAAACUGUGUCAGGGGACAUUUAGGUUGGGUGUAAGGUGGAAUUUCUUACAGAAAAGGUGAUUAGACAUUGGAAUGGGCUGCCCAGGAAGGUGGUGAAGUCACCAUCCCUAGGGGUGCUUUAGAAAAGACUGCAUGUGUCACUCAGUGCCGUGGUCUUGUUGACAAAGUGGUAUUCAGUCACAGGUUGGACUUGAUGAUCUCAGAGGGCUUUUCCAACCUAAUAGAUUCUAUUAUUCAGUGAUAUAUACAUAUAUGCUACAUAUGUAGCAGAAGAUGUUGAGAAAUAACUUUUCAUUGGAAUGCAGUGGCAUAGCAGUGGGGGCAUCUGAUGUACUAAAAGUCCAGUAGUGGCUGUAGUAGAAUUUGAAAAAAAUUCUGUCCUGAAGUCCUGUGCUGCAAUUUGCUCCAAACUGGUUAAUCAGCAUACUGAUUAAUGAUAUGCUUUUAUGUAAAAUUGCACGUUCUUGACUACAUUUAAUACUCAGAUGUACUCACAGUGGCUUUUAUUCCAAAUUAAUUUUAUUAAUUUUAACUAUUCCCACAAUUGCAAAUUAUGCAAUGUUUCAUUUUCUACACCUUAGGUACAAAAAUAAGCAGUGAAAUGACAUAAAAUAUGCUUCAGCUUCUACUAAAUUGUAGCACUUAAGGUAACAUUUAGUAAAACAGUUUAGCAUGAUGCAGGGAUCUUACACAGCAAUCUAUUAACAAAAGUAUUUUCCAACAUCAAUGCAUAAGUUUAAUAAUUAUAAAUAUUAAAUUUUCUUUCACUGAUGUACGGUUCAUGGCAGUGACUCUUGAGGUUAUUUGUAAAUACACCUGCCAGUCUUCUACCUAAAAGUGAAAAGAUGCAUUAUUGGAAUAUUUUUGUUGGAACAUUCUUUGGAGAACUUUUGUUUGCUUGUUUCUACACUUCAGUUUUUUUUCCUUACUUGUUUCCUUGAUCAAUUUUUUCUUGGCUUGACUUUUCCUGUCCUCUCCAUUUUGACUAUGAUUUUAUGCAUUUGAAUUUAUAUAUCUUAUCAUCAACAGUACCCGGUGUCUGCAGAUUGACAUGCAAUGUAAAUAUUACUAGUGAAAACUGGGGUUCUUCCAUUGUUUUCGGUGGCUAAGCACUGAAACGAACAUUUUUUCAGAAAAAGUGAAAAAAAGAAAUAACGAAGUAGAAAAUACAAAAUGAGAGUGAAAGCUACAAAAUGGGCUCAAGCUAUAAUGAAAAAAUAGUAGGAAUAGGUAGAUUUAAAAGAUCCUCUGCAAAUUAAAUUUUGUCUUCUUUCCAAAAUGAUGAAAGGUGUUUUCCACAGGCAGUUGCCCUUCCCACUAAAUGUAUAGACACUUUGCAAUCUGAUGUUACCAUAUGACUAUUUAGUAAACCUUCAUACUUUAGGGAAAUAAAAUAAAAUUUUAUCUGCUAUAAAUAGCUAUGUCUUUUUUAUAAAUAAAGAUAUUUUUUGCCUGUCAAGUAAUUCAGAGCUCUAUUAUUUUAGAGUUAUACUUUUCCAUGGACUACAUUUUUUCUCUUCUUUCUGUGCAUUAGUAAUACUUUCUCUCUGAUUUCUUAUUCUACAUAUGCAGAGGAAUACCUUAUUUGUUCUGUGCAGCUUUGUCUUUCACUCUUUCACUCUUUCACUCUUUCACUCUUUCGCAGUCUUUACUUUACACUAAUUUCUGUUCAUGUUGGUACUACUUAUUCCAACACUUUUCCCCCAUUUCCUAUUUUCUCUUCUGUUUGCCCCCAGGAAUAGUUUUUGCUGUCUCUCUUACCAUUUUGCAGAAGACUUGUGAUAAGAUACGUGGCCCCUCAGAUUCAAAUGAUGUAUCACAGGAAUACAUAGAGUUCAUCUUAAACAAGAGACAGAAAACUGUACAAAGGAAAUAACAUUUGAGACAUUUAUGUGCUAUCCAUCUACAUGUGUAUAUAGCAUUAACAAAGAUAAACAAGAUUAAGAUCAGGAUAUUCAGUUUAUUAUAAGGAAUUAAUAGGUUUAAGUAGGAGAGGUUGCCUGCUUAAUGUGUUAGGUAUUACAGUCUUAUACAGUGUGGAGUUUUACAGAGGUUUUUAGAUUUACUUGCCAUGUAUAUAAAAUGUUCUUCCGUCCAGCUGGUACUAAUUUCCUGAGAAAUAUGGGUGUGAGAAAAAUAAAGGUUUCCUAUGAAAAAAAGAAGGAAAAAAGGAGAAAGGAAGCAGUGCUUUUAUGUCUUGCUAUUAUUUCUCAUCAGUACAAGGCCUAAGGCUGUUGUGUGUAUAAGGACAAAAAUGAGUGAUGCAGGAGCAGUACUGUGACUGGCACAGAAACCUGAAAAAAUCAGAAAUCUGAGAAAUGGGACAGCACAGUCCUUUGUAGAAUCAAAUUGUUUGGAGAAUGGAAGGGAAAUUAGACUGAGCUGAAAGUCAGAAUGGGUGAAAAAAAGGACACACUGAUUUAAAAAAUGCUUUAUUGGGACUGCCAUAGGAUCUUCAUGGAUUGACACAAUAUUCAGUCAAAUAGUCUAAAAUAAUAACAUUUUUAAUUUAAUAUAUGAAUACAUAAAAUACAACCAAAAUAUAAGCCAAAGCCAAUUUCUUAAAAAAAGGCAAAAAGGGAAAAGCUUCGGUAAGACAUUGGCUUACCUAAGCUUUUGUAAUUUCUUAUAGGAAAUUACCUUGGUUUUGUAAUUUCUCCUAGCUUUCUAGAGUCUGCUUUCUCUCUUCUGUUAUACACGACAAAAACACUGCAAAAUAUUACAGAAGAUUGAUUAACACCAAGCCCAGUCAUUUAAAUAGUUUUUAGAAUAAUUUAAACAUAAGAGAAUUCCUCUAUUUCAAUAAUAUCUUCCUUUAAGUUUGGAUGGGGCUGGACUUAUGUACAUGUGAUUAAUUUGGAGUGAUGGAUACCUGUUCACUACAGUUUUGUUUUUAUGUUUCUCUAUGUACUUUUUUCCUGGAGCAUGCUGUCUUGCAUUUUGCGGUACAGUUAGAGCCAUAGAUGUGGAAAAUCCACUUCCAUCAUGUUUUUUCCAGCAAAGAGGAAUUAUAUCUCUGACCAUUAUUCUUUGGUCUCCACUUUAAAGCUAGUGGGAGGAAUAUGUAUAGAAAUGUUAAAGAUGUAUAGAAAAGAAUACAUGCAAAUAUUUUAGUUUAAGAUUUCUGUUGCUUUUGGGAAAGCAUUCUGUCAUACAGUUUUUUUAGAGAAACUGUGUUUGUGAAGGCAUACACACAUUUUGAGUGGAUGGAGCCUCGAAAAACAACACAUUGUUGUGAAUCAUAUUGUAGCUUUAAAUUAGAAGUCAGAUCUAAUGUUCAAGUUCAAGUUUAGGUGAGAAAUGUCCUUAUGGUUUUCUCUUAACUCUUCAAAUUCAGUUAAAAAAAAUCAAAAUUUCAAACUAUGAUUUUAUCUAUAGAGCUUUUUCCUUCAAUAUGUUCACAGCUGAUAUAGUUUUACCUUACUUAGAGGGGAAGAGAAAGCAUGAUAUUCCUUAGUGAAAUUCCUUUGAGGAAUUUCUUGUUUUCCAGCACCUGUCUAUGCUUCUAUCUCUGAAAUACUGUGACUUCGAACAAUACAGCCAUUUUUACAAGUGGCUGGAGUGUCAUAAUUUUGUUACUGUUGAAUACUUACCUGAGAAACCUUUAAAAUGCCAUAAAUCUAAAUGAAAUAAUCUCUGUGAAAAAUUACUCAUUUGUUCCAACAAGGAAACUUAUUUUUAUAUAAAAUUAUAAGAUAUUAUGAUUUCUUCUAGGUACAUAUCCAUCUCAAUCUUCCUCACUUAUAUAAUAGCAAUAUCAGAGGUCAGACUCUCCAAGAAUCUAAACAGUAUUUAAUUAUUUACAAUAGUUUAAAAUAAAUUUCAAUACAUACCUUUUUUUUAGGAAUUGUGUACUGGUUUUGCUUUAAGGCAACUUUAGUAUGAAAAGUAAGUGUGACAAAGAGACUGCAUAUAGUAUCCCCAUGUCAUGGUAUCAUGGGUAUCCCACUACUAAGUUGUGUACACCUAGAGCUAUCAUAUAAGAGUUUUUUCUAUUUCUCUGAUGUAAUUCUUGGCCAUUUGUUUAUGAUAAACCUUCAUUCGAUUUAAUCUUUCUAAA
Long non-coding RNA from Passer domesticus (house sparrow), 9150 nucleotides. RefSeq lists it as uncharacterized. NCBI's taxonomy places the organism in Eukaryota, Metazoa, Chordata, Aves, Passeriformes, Passeridae. The record is from RefSeq and is a predicted model, not a curated record. The transcript has 5 exons.